Molecule: ribosomal RNA, 255 nt
Filed under: uncultured bacterium
Lineage: Bacteria
Description: partial 16S ribosomal RNA
Rfam family: Bacterial small subunit ribosomal RNA
Source: RNAcentral
UACGUAGGGUGCAAGCGUUGUCCGGAAUUAUUGGGCGUAAAGAGCUCGUAGGCGGUUUGUCGCGUCUGCUGUGAAAAUCCGGGGCUCAACCCCGGACUUGCAGUGGGUACGGGCAGACUGGAGUGUGGUAGGGGGAGACUGGAAUUCCUGGUGUAGCGGUGGAAUGCGCAGAUAUCAGGAGGAACACCGGCGGCGAAGGCGGCUUCCUGGCCCAAUACUGACGUUCAGGUACGAAAAGCGUGGGUAGCAAACAGG